This 563-nucleotide ribosomal RNA is filed under the name uncultured bacterium. RNAcentral describes it as "partial 16S ribosomal RNA". The record is from RNAcentral.
ACGGCUACCUUGUUACGACUUCACCCUAAUCAUCUGUCCUACCUUAGACGGCUGACUCCUAUAAAGGUUAUCCCACCGGCUUUGGGUGUUACAGACUCUCAUGGUGUGACGGGCGGUGUGUACAAGGCCCGGGAACGUAUUCACCGCGGCGUGCUGAUCCGCGAUUACUAGCGAUUCCAGCUUCGUGUAGGCGAGUUGCAGCCUACAGUCCGAACUGAGAACGGCUUUAAGAGAUCCGCUUGCCUUCGCAGGUUCGCUUCUCGUUGUACCGUCCAUUGUAGCACGUGUGUAGCCCAGGUCAUAAGGGGCAUGAUGACUUGACGUCAUCCCCACCUUCCUCCGGUUUGUCACCGGCAGUCUCAUUAGAGUGCCCAACUUAAUGAUGGCAACUAAUGACAAGGGUUGCGCUCGUUGCGGGACUUAACCCAACAUCUCACGACACGAGCUGACGACAGCCAUGCACCACCUGUCUCAGCGUCCCCGAAGGGAACACCUAAUCUCUUAAGUUUGCACUGGAUGUCAAGACCUGGUAAGGUUCUUCGCGUUGCUUCAAAUUAAACCAC